RNAcentral lists this ribosomal RNA (2821 nucleotides) under human gut metagenome. RNAcentral describes it as "bacterial LSU rRNA". It matches the Rfam family "Bacterial large subunit ribosomal RNA". The record is from RNAcentral.
AGGGCGUAUGGUGGAUGCCUUGGCAUUAGAAGCUGAUGAAGGACGUGACUAACUACGAUAUGCUUCGGGGAGAUGUACGUAAUCUUUGAUCCGGAGAUUUCCGAAUGGGGGAACCCACUAGUGGUAAUGCACUAGUAUCACAUAAUGAAUAUAUAGUUAUGUAGAAAGCAACCCAGUGAACUGAAACAUCUUAGUAACUGGAGGAACAGAAAGAAAAAUCGAUUUCCUUAGUAGUGGCGAGCGAAAUGGAAAGAGCCCAAACCAACUUUAGAGUUGGGGUUGUAGGACCUCUCUAUAAGAGUUACAAAUUCAUAACAUAGUUGAACUUUUCUGGAAAGUUAGACGAAACAAGGUGAUAGUCCUGUAAACGAAAUGUUAUGAACUCUUUGAGGUAUCCUGAGUACAACGAGACACGAGAAAUCUUGUUGGAAUCUGCGGGGACCAUCCCGUAAGGCUAAAUACUCUCUAAUGACCGAUAGUGAACAAGUACCGUGAGGGAAAGGUGAAAAGAACCCCGGGAGGGGAGUGAAAUAGAAACUGAAACCGUAUGCUUACAAAAAGUUCGAGCACAUUAAUGUGUGAGAGCGUGCCUUUUGCAGAAUGAACCGGCGAGUUAUUGUAUUAUGCAAGGUUAAGUCGAACAGAUGGAGCCGAAGCGAAAGCGAGUCUGAAUAGGGCGCUUAAGUAUGAUGCAAUAGACCCGAAACCGAGUGAUCUAGCCAUGAGCAGGUUGAAGUUGGGGUAAGACCCAAUGGAGGACCGAACCGAUAUGCCCGGAAACGCGUACGGAUGACUUGUGGUUAGCGGAGAAAUUCCAAACGAACUCGGAGAUAGCUGGUUCUCCCCGAAAUAGGUUUAGGCCUAGCCUUGAUUGAAUCUGCCCGGAGGUAGAGCACUGAAUGUGCGAUGGCGUCGUCUAGAUGUACUGAGUACAAUCAAACUCCGAAUGCUGGGUAGUACUAAUCAGGAGUCACUGUAUGGGUGAUAACGUCCAUACGGGAGAGGAAAAGAAUCCGGAUCGCCAGCUAAGGUCCCAAAAUUUGUGUUAAGUGGGAAAGGAUGUAGAGUUGUCAAAACAGCUAGGAGGUUGGCUUAGAAGCAGCCACCCUUUAAAGAGUGCGUAAUAGCUCACUAGUCGAGUGACACUGCGCCGAAGAUGUACCGGGGCUAAACACAAUACCGAAGCUGCGGACUUGUACAUAAGUGCAAGUGGUAGGGGAGCGUUCUAAGUGCUGAGAAGGUAGACCGUAAGGACUGCUGGAGCGCUUAGAAGUGAGAAUGCCGGUGUGAGUAACGAAAAUUGGGUGAGAAUCCCAUUCACCGUUUGACUAAGGGUUCCUGGGUAAAGUUCGUCUUCCCAGGGUAAGUCAGGACCUAAGAUGAGGCUGAAAAGCGUAGUCGAUGGACAACAGGUUGAUAUUCCUGUACCACCUAUAUGACUGAAGGAGUGACGGAGAAAGCUAGUGAGAGCCAGUUAAUGGAUUCUGGUCUAAGUGCGUAGGCUAGUAUGUUGGCAAAUCCGCAAUACUAUAACAGCUGAAACAUGAUGGGGAAGAGAGUCUUCGGACAAUCGAACUUUCAUGAUGCUAUGCUUCCAAGAAAAGCUUCUAGGGUUAAUCGUAUAGGUGCCUGUACCGACAACCGACACAGGUGGUCAAGGAGAGUAUCCUAAGGUGAGCGAGAGAACUAUGGUUAAGGAACUCGGCAAAAUGACCCCGUAACUUCGGGAGAAGGGGUGGUCUAGCGAUAGACUCGCAGUGAAUAGGCCCAGGCAACUGUUUACCAAAAACACAGGUCUCUGCUAACACGUAAGUGGAUGUAUAGGGGCUGACGCCUGCCCAGUGCUGGAAGGUUAAAGAGAUUAGUUAGUAUGACGUAAGUCGAUAAUACGAAGCUUUGAACUGAAGCCCCAGUGAACGGCGGCCGUAACUAUAACGGUCCUAAGGUAGCGAAAUUCCUUGUCAGGUAAGUUCUGACCCGCACGAAAGGCGUAAUGAUUUGGGCGCUGUCUCGACAAUGUCCCCGGCGAAAUUGUAGUACUAGUGAAGAUGCUAGUUACCUGCGAUAAGACAGAAAGACCCCAUGGAGCUUUACUGCAGUUUGAUACUGGGUUUCGAUGAUUUAUGUACAGGAUAGUUGGGAGACUAUGAAAGAGAGGCGUCAGCUUCUCCGGAGUCGUUGUUGGGAUACCAACCUUAAGUUAUUGAAAUUCUAACUUGUAAUCGUAAACCGGUUAGAGGACAAUGUCAGACGGGCAGUUUGACUGGGGCGGUCGCCUCCUAAAGAGUAACGGAGGCGCCCAAAGGUUUCCUCAGCGCGGACAGAAAUCGCGCGAAAGAGUGCAAAGGCAGAAGGAAGCUUAACUGAGAGACAGACAUGUCGACCAGAUACGAAAGUAGGGCUUAGUGAUCCGGUGGUUGUAAAUGGAAAUGCCAUCGCUCAACGGACAAAAGUUACCCUGGGGAUAACAGGCUUAUCUCCCCCAAGAGUUCACAUCGACGGGGAGGUUUGGCACCUCGAUGUCGGCUCAUCACAUCCUGGAGCGGAAGUACGUUCCAAGGGUUGGGCUGUUCGCCCAUUAAAGUGGUACGCGAGCUGGGUUCAGAACGUCGUGAGACAGUUCGGUCCUUAUCUGUCGCAGGCGAAGGAUAUUUGAGGGGAGUUGACCUUAGUACGAGAGGACCAGGUUGAACUUACCAAUGGUGUAUCAGUUGUCGUACCAACGGCACGGCUGAGUAGCUAAGUAGGGAAGGGAUAAACGCUGAAAGCAUCUAAGUGUGAAGCCCACCCCAAGAUAAGAUAUCCCAUACCGUAAGGUAGU